AUGGACCUCACUAAGUUCCUGGUGCUGUCCUACCAGCCACAGACCUCUGAAAUGGUUUUCCCAGGAAGGGGAAGGAUCCGUGUCGAUGCUGACAGUGUUCAGAGGAUCACUACAUGGCUCAAGAUGAUUCAGAAUAUGGCUGGAAGAACGGAUGACACAUUCUUUAUGGCCUGGCUUGCGGUUGCCUUCAGCACUUUUCUAACCCCAACCACGGCCUUGAAGCUUAGCCCAAAGUGUUAUGGACUUGUACUAGAUCAUCAAAUGCUAAAGAAUACAAACAUCUGCCUCUUUGUAGCAGAACACAUUAAUGAAGCUUUUCGGAACAUGGACCAGGAGAAGCAAACUGUCUGCUGCUGCUUGUAUCACUUAAUGAUACUAUACCUUGAUGCGCUCGUACAUGACAUCCCAAUAAGCAACUGCGCGAUACGAUCGAAUGCAUGGGAUAGUACUCUAAUUGCCAAGGUGAUCAAGAAGGAUACUAUCUCUCCUGGUGUGUUCGGCAAAUUACAACUUAAAGAGGAGUAUAGAGGCACGGAGCAGACACCACUGUUUGGUGGAAUUUUGCAAGCUGAAGCAUUCGUGGCAUCCAAGUUACCAAUAACCUACAAUCCGCAGAAAAAGGCAAACAUUGCGAAAGUGCAGCCAUCAAUGCAAACUGGAGCGUCACGCCGUGCUCCAAAAAUAAAGAGAUGGGGGUCAACUAUACAGGAAGAAGAAGAGUUUGUUGAGGAUGAGUCAGAAGAAGAUGAGGAAAUGGAAGCAGCGAUAGAUGCUGACGACGACGAGGAGACAGAUGCGGAUGAAUCAGAGGAGGACAAGGAUGAGGAUGACAAUGAAGAAGAUGCAGAGGAGGAGGAGGACACAGAGGAAGAGGAGAAGGAGGAGGAGGAGGAGGAGGACAAACAAGAAGAGGACAAAGGAGAGGAGGAGGACAAGGAAGAAGAUAUUGAGGCAGAGGAGGAGGAAGAAGAAAGUGAGGCCAAAGAGGGGGACGGGGACAAAGGGGCAGCAGUUGAUGGCAGUGAGAGGGGAGAAGACAAAGGCGCAGUAGCUGAUGGCAGUGAGAGGGAAGAAGACGAUGAUGAAGAAGAUGAGGAUGGUUAUGGUGAUGAUAAAGGGGGAUCCAAUGGAUGCAGCGACAGCAGCGAUGACGAUGAUGAUGACAACGCCCCUGCUUCUGGUGGUACAGGUGGAAACACAUCUAGGAGGACUAGCACUUCUGCCACCCCUGCCAGCAGCAGCAAUUCAUUGAGUAGCAGGAGCACACUACAGAUGUUGAUUGACAAAACUUGCUGGAAAGACAAGGAUUUGCCGAAGUCAAAGAAAAAUGACGAAGCAGAGUCUCAGGGCAGCAUUGAUAUGUUCAAGCUCUGCAACUUGAAGCCAGCUUUGCCAACCACCUUUCCCGUGCCAGAUUUCAGUGACAAAGAUAUGUGUGAGAAGAUCAACUUUGCCAUUGACAAGAGCCUGUUUGUAUCAAGUGAUGCUGAAAAGAAUCAAAUUGACAUGGAUGAAGCAGGAAAGGGUCUUGACUGGGUUCAUUCAAAGGAAAAAUACAAGGAAUAUUUAAAGCAGCUCCCAGACCUAAGCUCCAGCAAGAGCAAGGCAGCAUCCAUGGCAAACCCUCAUGUGGUCCAGAAGCGUAAAGCAGUUUCAAUGAAGAAGAAUCUGCAGUUGCCUCAAACCAAGGAGAAGAUGGUGAGUGCAGAUGCUGAAGUAAAUAUGGUCAAGGAAGCUGUGCUUCAAACUGAUAUGCCAAAUGUAGUGAGCAGAGAGCCAACCAAUGUCACAGAAGUUCAACAGAUCAAGGGGAAGACUCCCCUUUCAACAGUUCCACCAAAACCACCUAAGGAGAAGAUUGUCAAGUUUGCCAGGGGCACAAAGGGGGAACAUGCCACAAAAGGUUUGGGGUUCAGAGACAAGAGAGAACUGCGAGCCGCAACCAUUGAUGCAGGGGUGCCAAGUUCUGCUAGGUUCCUGCCAACUCAGACUGGAAAGAUACCAACUACAGAUACCAGUGUGCCAACUGAUGUGUCAGUUAGCAGCAUGUUCACAGUCAAAACCACCACAGCUGGUCAGGAAGGCACCACUGCAACUGCAAGCCUCAAGGUGCCUACUCAUAGAGAUGCUUCAAUGCCAAACACAAAAGGAGGUGAUCCAACUAUCAAAGUGCCGUCCCCAAGAGCUGACUUUCAGCAACCAUUAACACAAGAGGAGGUGUUCAACAUUAUAAGUAGGUGCAAGCCUCCAAGGCCGCCAACUACAACACUAUUGCGAACCAAGUCAGUGAACGAUGCAUCCGUGUUUGUGCCGCAAGGAGAUGCCCUGGUCCUUGAACCCUUAUGA
Molecule: ribosomal RNA, 2346 nt
Filed under: Triticum aestivum (bread wheat)
Lineage: Eukaryota; Viridiplantae; Streptophyta; Magnoliopsida; Poales; Poaceae
Description: partial small subunit ribosomal RNA
Source: RNAcentral